RNAcentral lists this ribosomal RNA (250 nucleotides) under uncultured bacterium. Its description in RNAcentral is "partial 16S ribosomal RNA". It matches the Rfam family "Bacterial small subunit ribosomal RNA", at positions 524 to 773 of the family's 1533-position model. The record is from RNAcentral.
UACGGAGGGUGCAAGCGUUAUCCGGAUUUACUGGGUUUAAAGGGUGUGUAGGCGGGCUUUUAAGUCAGCGGUGAAAUCUCCAGGCUUAACCUGGAAACUGCCAUUGAUACUAUAAGUCUUGAAUACCGAUGAGGUGGGCAGAAUAUGUCAUGUAGCGGUGAAAUGCAUAGAUAUGACAUAGAAUACCGAUUGCGAAGGCAGCUCACUAACCGGUCAUUGACGCUGAGGCACGAAAGCGUGGGGAUCAAAC